GAUGAACGCUGGCGGCGUGCCUAAUACAUGCAAGUCGAACGGGAGCCUCGAUUCGGUUGAGGUGAGAGUGGCGAACGGGUGAGUAACACAUAGCUGACCUGCCCUUCGAGAGGGGGACAACCGCUGGAAACGGUGGCUAAUACCCCAUACGCUUGCUCGGGUUAGAGGCCGGGUGAGGAAAGGCUUUGGUGCUGAGGGAGGGGGCUGUGGCCCAUCAGCUAGUUGGUAGGGUAACGGCCUACCAAGGCGAGGACGGGUAGGGGACCUGAGAGGGUGACCCCCCACACGGGCACUGAGAGACGGGCCCGACUCCUACGGGAGGCAGCAGUAAGGGAUAUUGCGCCAAUGGGCGAAAGCCUGAUGCAGCGACGCCGCGUGAGCGAAGAAGGCCUUCGGGUUGUAAAGCUCUGUCUGGAGGGACGAAGGAAGUGACGGUACCUCCGGAGGAAGCCACGGCUAACUACGUG
Molecule: ribosomal RNA, 467 nt
Filed under: uncultured bacterium
Lineage: Bacteria
Description: bacterial SSU rRNA
Rfam family: Bacterial small subunit ribosomal RNA
Source: RNAcentral